RNAcentral lists this ribosomal RNA (526 nucleotides) under uncultured eukaryote. Its description in RNAcentral is "SSU rRNA". It matches the Rfam family "Eukaryotic small subunit ribosomal RNA", at positions 75 to 604 of the family's 1831-position model. The record is from RNAcentral.
UAUACAGCGAAACUGCGAAUGGCUCAUUAUAUAAGUUAUCGUUUAUUUGAUAGUGCCUUACUACUUGGAUAACCGUGGUAAUUCUAGAGCUAAUACAUGCUAAAAACCCCGACUUCGGAAGGGGUGUAUUUAUUAGAUACAAAACCAAUGCCCUUCGGGGCUCUUUGGUGAUUCAUGAUAACUAUACGAAUCGCACGGCCUUGCGCCGGCGAUGGUUCAUUCAAAUUUCUUCCCUAUCAACUUUCGAUGUUUGGGUAUUGGCCAAACAUGGUUGCAACGGGUGACGGAGGGUUAGGGCUCGACCCCGGAGAAGGAGCCUGAGAAACGGCUACUACAUCCAAGGAAGGCAGCAGGCGCGCAAAUUACCCAAUCCCGACUCGGGGAGGUAGUGACAAUAAAUACUGAUACAGGGCCCUUUCGGGCCUUGUAAUUGGAAUGAGUACAAUUUAAAUCCCUUAACGAGGAACAAUUGGAGGGCAAGUCUGGUGCCAGCAGCCGCGGUAAUUCCAGCUCCAAUAGCGUAUAU